Molecule: long non-coding RNA, 325 nt
Filed under: Rattus norvegicus (Norway rat)
Lineage: Eukaryota; Metazoa; Chordata; Mammalia; Rodentia; Muridae
Description: long non-coding RNA NONRATT007167
Source: RNAcentral
GAAAGAUCUCCAAUGCUCAUGGAUUGGCAGGAUUAAUUUAGUAAAAAUGGCCAUUUUACCAAAAGCAAUCUACAGAUUCAAUGCAAUCCCCAUCAAAAUACCAAUCCAAUUCUUCAAAGAGUUAGACAGAACAAUUUGCAAAUUCAUCUGGAAUAACAAAAAACCCAGGAUAGCUAAAGCUAUCCUCAACAAUAAAAGGACUUCAGGGGGAAUCACUAUCCCUGAACUCAAGCAGUAUUACAGAGCAAUAGUGAUAAAAACUGCAUGGUAUUGGUACAGAGACAGACAGAUAGACCAAUGGAAUAGAAUUGAAGACCCAGAAAUG